AACGGCGAGUGAAGCGGCAAGAGCUCAAAUUUGAAAGCUGGCUCCAUCCGGGGUCCGCAUUGUAAUUUGGAGAGGAUGCUUCGGGUGCGGCCCCCGUCUAAGUGCUCUGGAACGGGCCGUCGGAGAGGGUGAGAAUCCCGUCUGGGGCGGGGAGCCCCGCGCCCAUGUGAAGCUCCUUCAACGAGUCGAGUUGUUUGGGAAUGCAGCUCUAAAUGGGUGGUAAAUUUCAUCUAAAGCUAAAUACAGGCCGGAGACCGAUAGCGCACAAGUAGAGUGAUCGAAAGAUGAAAAGCACUUUGAAAAGAGAGUUAAACAGCACGUGAAAUUGUUGAAAGGGAAGCGCUUGCGAUCAGACUCGCCCGCGGGGUUCAGCCGGCAUUCGUGCCGGUGUACUUCCCCGCGGGCGGGCCAGCGUCGGUUUGGGCGGCCGGUCAAAGGCCCCCGGAAUGUAGCGCCCCCCGGGGCGUCUUAUAGCCGGGGGUGCCAUGCGGCCAGCCCGGACCGAGGAACGCGCUUCGGCACGGACGCUGGCGUAAUGGUCGCAAGCGACCCGUCUUGAAACACGGACCAAGGAGUCUAACAUCUACGCGAGUGUUUGGGUGGCAAACCCAUGCGCGCAGUGAAAGCGAACGGAGGUGGGAACCCCCCCGCGGGGCGCACCAUCGACCGAUCCUGAUGUCCUCGGAUGGAUUUGAGUAAGAGCGUAGCUGUGGGGACCCGAAAGAUGGUGAACUAUGCCUGAAUAGGGCGAAGCCAGGGGAAACUCUGGUGGAGGCUCGCAGCGGUUCUGACGUGCAAAUCGAUCGUCAAAUUU
This 814-nucleotide ribosomal RNA is filed under the name Xerochrysium xerophilum. RNAcentral describes it as "eukaryotic LSU rRNA". It matches the Rfam family "Eukaryotic large subunit ribosomal RNA", at positions 85 to 912 of the family's 3401-position model. The record is from RNAcentral. Lineage: Eukaryota; Fungi; Ascomycota; Eurotiomycetes; Eurotiales; Trichocomaceae.